Molecule: long non-coding RNA, 5010 nt
Organism: Dermacentor andersoni
Lineage: Eukaryota; Metazoa; Arthropoda; Arachnida; Ixodida; Ixodidae
Source: RefSeq, a predicted model, not a curated record
AUACGUGCGGCAUUUCUACACAAACAAAAUUGUCUCACUGUUUUCUUUGAUUUAGAAAAGGCGUACGACACAACAUGGAGGUUUGAUAUUUUAAGGGACUUAGCGGGUUUAGGGAUCCGCGGUAGAAUGCUUAAAUGUCUAACCGAUUUCAUGUCCGACUGAACAUUCCAAGUGCGUUUAGGAACGGUGCUUUCCCGCGUAUUUAUUCACUUACUGUGUGCAGCUUGCAGCAGGAUUUGCUGACAGGUGGUGGGUUGGCACUGUGUGCCCGUAGCUGCUAGUUGUCGGAGCGUGGUUCCGUGUUUUUCUUUUUCUUUGAGAUGCAGGCACGCUCGAUGUGACCUUCCUUGGAGCAGAAACGGCGCUCGGCUGUCUUGAAUUUGCACGUUUCAGGGUCGUGCAAGCCGUCGCAUCGAUAGCAAUGUCUUGCUGACGUACGCUUGCCUACUGGCUUGAUUUGCAACGUCCUGUUAAUUUCCCCCGAGUUUGCCACUCCCUUGAUAUCUCGCGGAUGCCUUGACGCACUUUCCGCUGACAGGGAAAUCCACAGCGCGUUGAAAUGUCAGGCUUUGUCUGCGAACAGUCUCUGGGGAAGAUGUUCGUCCCAGACGCCGCGGACGAACCUGUCCCGGAGCAUAACAUCCUGGGGCACCAUAGUUGGGUUCGCAGCUGAAGCGGUCGUUUGGGUGUCAGGUGACAUCGUCGAUAGUGUAGCCGAAGGCAGCGCUCCCAAGUUGCAGUCGGCUGUCAAGGUUCCGAGGGCCGCAGCGUAGCUGCUGAUCGACUCGUCCGGCCGUUGGUCGGGUCUUUGAAACACGUACCGGCUGUAAAGCUCGGAUGUCCUGGUGUCGAAUUGUCAUUGUCGAAUUGAAUUGUCAAUUGUCGAAGUGUCACUAAAUCAUUGAAGUUGACUUCUCUCGGGAUCUUCGGCGCUAUCAGCGCGUGCACACACUGUUCGAAAGUGUCGGCUCCACAAAGCGUGAGGAGAAGUGCCCGCUUCUUCGCUUCGUCGCUGACGUCGCUCGCAACGAAGUAAAAGUCGAGGCGCGGGAUACGCGAUUCCCACGAUUUGCCCGAGAAAGGCUCGGCAGCGCUUGUCGGGCCGUGUUGGGCCGUGUGUUGGGCCGGGCCUUAACUUCGAAAACUUAUCCGCUUCGCAACUCCUGCCUCAUCGCCAGUGUUAUGUACGAGGUCUGGCCCCAUCCGUGAAAGGAGUGCGCAUCCGUUGGUGGCAGAAAACAGACUGCGUUUAUUUUCUGCAAAAGGCGCAGGCGAGAGCUGCAUGUGUUCGAGGGGUAAACUCUCGGUCCCUUUCCGGUAGCAGAGACGGCGAGGGCGACGACGAAGGAUUCUCAGAACUCGACUCGGGAUGGGGUGGCUUCCCGUUUCUUCCGCGCUGGUGCUUUGUCCAGCCGAGGAGCGGCGGUGCGCCGCUUGCCCACAACUCAAGCUUUCGCUAGCACAGCUACAAAAAGUGCGCCAUCGCGCCAUACACAACCGAGCACAUAGUGACGCAUGUUGUCGCAACAUUAUGCGGUAGCAAUAAACAAAAAAAAAAGUGGCACAGGUAAGACGACUGCACAGUGUUCCAAAGGUGGGUCACCACGUCAACGCCACACAUGCAGCGCAGAAUGUCACAGUGCAAGAGUCGCGUUUUCACCAUGACGCGGAAGCUUCAAGCUGCAUCGACAAAAAUAUGCCAGUGUCGUCUGCUGUUGGCGAUGGGCGUCUUGCGCUGGAGAUUGAGGUAUAGUGGCGGCGCAGGAAAUGACAUCUGGUCGUACCAGCUUGGGUCGUAUUGAGCCCUGGCUGUGGCGAAGCGCGUUUCUAGGCGGAGUUUUGCGUCGAUUCGCACUUUUUUCUGCCCUGUUGCGAGUGCGAAAAGGCUCGUCACUUCUCACAGACCACGUUGCGAGCUCGUCGCAGCCUAUAGUUUAACGAAAACGGACUCUCCGUGAGACGUAAUGCUGGAAGCAGAAGGAAUCGGCGACGCCGAUCCGUAGAGACCUAGCUCAGCCUCGAAAAAGCGUCACCGUCGUUACUUCUGCGUCGUCGGCUGCCAUGAACAAGAAGGCCUGAAUCCUAACAUCAGAUUCUACCGUUUUCUUUCAAGGCCUCACGAAGCAGAGCGUCGGGCGCGCUGGUUAGUUGCAGUUCGUCGCGCUGGGUAAACGAAACUUCGCGCCAUGCUGACUGAUUCGCCUGUCUUGAAACUUGCUUAUCUGCGUUCAAAAAUUCGGUAUUUUGCACCUACAGUCCCGACGGCAGACCGACAUAGCAGCAGGCAUGGCUGGUGAUUCACGAUUCGAGACCCGGCCACAGCGACAAUUAACAAUUCGACCCGUGCGAAGUGGUGCGUUCAAAUGAUCACAAAUGGUCGGGCUGAUUCGGUAACAAUUCACUACCCCACUACGAGCAGCACAGGUUAGAGAGUUAAAUGUGCUUAUCCUUUACCUCAAGCCAGCACGUUGAGGCAGCGCAGCAAGGUUGUAUUGAUUGCAGCACAUAGAUGUUCGAGCGCUGUCAUUAAAAGCUACAUCAAGCGAUCAGCGCACGAGCUCGCGCGAUUCGCACGUACGUUACUGCGAGCUCAUAGCAUUGCAUCAGUUAUUUAUCAAUUGCUAAAGGGACAGAUGGCCGCUACUACAGUGCAGCAGGCAUAAAUACUUGUCUAGCGGCAUGCAGUCAACAAAGAUUGCAGGAGGCCCGCCGUUUCGCCGCAUGUCGAAAGACCGCUGCCAUCGCGGCGCGUAUGAUCGUGCGCUCGAGCAGUUCGUACAUCGCGGCAUGCUGAAAGACCGCUGUCGUCGCCGCGCGUACCGUCGUGCGCUCGAGCAGUUCAGUACACAUGAUGACGGCUUAUCGCUGCUGUGAGUUCAUUUAUAGCAAGCAUUUCGUCGCGUUUGUGUGCCUGAAUCUAGCAGCGUGCAAAGCUUACCUGAAGUUCAACUUCGUACGCGACUCGCUUCACUUGCGAUUGACACCGUGCUAAAACUUCGCCGCUUAUUUCUUGAACGGCGUACACGUAUUCGGCGUUGCAUAAGUUAUUGCCUUUACGCAGCGUGCCACCCCUGAAAAAAAUCUUCGGCGCCCGAUAUUCGCUGCAAGCCGCAGUACAACAAAACCGAAAGUGGCGGGUCCAUAUUGUAAACGUGCUUUCCGGAGCAGACGACCGAGCUUUGGUACUACCCAGUUGAGGACAGAGGGCGCUUUUUAGCACCAUUUUCGCAGCGCCCCCUGGGCAAUGCAAGAGCCCCAUAGUUGCCGACUUCGAACAGUUUUGCUCUGCGCACUGCCGAAUGUUUGCUGGCUUUCAACAGACGUCGCGUCCCCAGACCGAAGUGCGGAUGCCGGCGCGUGCGAACCACUCGAGCUAACUAGUAAAAAAUAAUUAAUAAGAGAGCAAACCUAAUAACGAAAUCCUGGCACGGCGCGAAAUAUUGCUGGUCGCCAGCACACGAGGCUGCCAACUUGCUGAUGCAUGUUGCCAGUUGCUGGUUGCCUAUUUGGACAACCAGAGGGCGCAUGCGAACCGCACCGCAUCAUGCGGUUUCAGCGUAAAUCCACUUUUGUGACCGAUCGUGACGACCACCCGCUUUUCACGAACCGCCUGCGUGCGGUGCGGCGAUGGGCGGUUUGGGCGUAGAUCGGCCCUUAAGCCCGGAAUACAUGGAGCGUUUUUGAGGCGAUUUUCGCCUCACGGCGCCGAUUUGACGCCCGGCGUGGCGAAAAACGCCCGCUGCCGCCGAGCAGGACCGGCUUGAUUUUGACGCGGCGCGCACGCGUCUGACGUUACCGGAAGUGCCUGUCGGAGACACUUCCGUCUGUUUUCGGCGGGAGCGGCUAGACGUCUCGCCGUUCCUUGAACAACUCGCGCGCGUGCGCUGGUCAGCACCAUGGCUACGUCGGCGAAAGCAUCACGGGUGGAGUUUAACGACAAACUUAUAGGCGCGAUACAGAAACGUCCCAUAUUGUGGGACAGCACAAGGAAGGAUUUCAAGGAGCAGAGGAAGAGGAUGGCGGCGUGGGCCGAAUGGCCACCGAAGUUGGAUGUGACCCGGAAGGUAUGGUUGCAUUGCUACUAGUAUUUCUACCAAGACACAGUGCAAAAACUUUGUUUUAGAACCAAUGUUUUACAACCAGGUCAGAUAAAAAGGGACGCGCGGUAUAUCCGCGCCGACUUGCUGAAUAACCAAUGGAAGUUAAGAUAAAUACUGGCAUGCUUCUGCAAUGAACAAUUGUCAUUGAUAUUACAAAAGUAUUAUAUUUAACUGUUUUAUUUGAUGGUAAUGUGUGGAAGUAAAUCGAGGUUAAUCUGUGCAAUUCUACUUGCAGACAAUAAUCUACAGGGGCGGUGGAAGAGCCUUCGUGAUACAUUCACGAAGAAGCACCGCGCGUGGAAGACUGGUGCACCAAGUGGCUCGGGAGCUGCUGAUGCAGUGCACGUGAAGUGGCCGUAUUUCCACAUGAUGAUGUUUCUAAAAGAUCAGGUGGAUAUUGGCAGCACCUUCUCAAACAGCCAUGUGCAGGACGGUGAAACUGCAGAGUCGGUCCUGGAAUCGAUCUACAGUGAAACAGAAGACGGAGCAGAACCUCCUGAAGAUGAUGCUUUCUCUCCACUUGUGCCCUCAAGAAGUACCAGCCCAGAGCCACACACACCAAGCGGCAGCUCACAAGCCAGCACCGCUGCAAGAACCCUGACAGCCCCUCGGUCUGGCGCAGGAAAGAAAAGGAAAGAGAGGUCUCGGUGGCAGGACGACAUUGAUAAAGUUGACGCCCUGAUAACUGAGGACAAGGACCAAGCGUCAGUCUAUGGGCAGCUAGUUGCCCACAAGCUGCGGGCAUGCCCGAAGCAUGCGAAACGGGACAUGGAAAUGGAUUUGCUGCAAUUCAUAGCGAAGUAUACAUUUCAUGACAACCCUGAAUAAAUGCACAUCACAUAGUUUUCUAACAGACUUCGUAUAGUGACAAUGGGUGCUUUAAAUCCACUAUGGAUUCUGUGGCAGUGUG